GACGAACGCUGGCGGCGUGCUUAACACAUGCAAGUCGAACGGAAAGGCCCUGCUUUUGUGGGGUGCUCGAGUGGCGAACGGGUGAGUAACACGUGAGUAACCUGCCCUUGACUUUGGGAUAACUUCAGGAAACUGGGGCUAAUACCGGAUAGGGGCUCCUGCUGCAUGGUGGGGGUUGGAAAGUUUCGGCGGUUGGGGAUGGACUCGCGGCUUAUCAGCUUGUUGGUGGGGUAGUGGCUUACCAAGGCUUUGACGGGUAGCCGGCCUGAGAGGGUGACCGGCCACAUUGGGACUGAGGUACGGCCCAGACUCCUACGGGAGGCAGCAGUGGGGAAUAGUGCACAAUGGGCGGAAGCCUGAUGCAGCAACGCCGCGUGCGGGAUGACGGCCUUCGGGUUGUAAACCGCUUUCGCCUGUGACGAAGCGUGAGUGACGGUAAUGGGUAAAGAAGCACCGGCUAACUACGUG
This 468-nucleotide ribosomal RNA is filed under the name uncultured bacterium. RNAcentral describes it as "partial 16S ribosomal RNA". It matches the Rfam family "Bacterial small subunit ribosomal RNA", at positions 28 to 507 of the family's 1533-position model. The record is from RNAcentral.